CUAUAUCUAUCCAUUUUAAGAUUAUGUGAAUUAUGUGAAAAUGACUUCUUACUGAGUUUUUUAUUCUUACAGGUGUUUCUAGGAAGGCUAAAAAUUUUAUGCCAAUUGUUUAUGGAGUAUUGGCUGUCUUUAUAUUUUUGACUUUACUGGCAUUUUUAAGUGGAUGUUUCAAAUCAAGAAUACAAGCAGCAUUUCCUUUUCAUCUCUCAUGCUGUGGCUACACUGGUGAGCAGGAAGAAGAGGAGUCCACCGUAAUUUAUUCAUCUGUUAUCACCAGGACUCCUCCAAAACCAAGAAACCAACAUACAGAUGGCACCGACUGUGUUUACAGCGAAUUAAAACUAUAGAGGAAAUUCCCCAGGUUAAAAAAAAA
Molecule: long non-coding RNA, 373 nt
Organism: Fundulus heteroclitus (mummichog)
Lineage: Eukaryota; Metazoa; Chordata; Actinopteri; Cyprinodontiformes; Fundulidae
Exons: 3
Source: RefSeq, a predicted model, not a curated record